GUGGUAGGGGAGACUGGAAUUCCUGGUGUAGCGGUGGAAUGCGCAGAUAUCAGGAGGAACACCAAUGGCGAAGGCAGGUCUCUGGGCCAUUACUGACACUGAGGAGCGAAAGCGUGGGGAGCGAACAGGAUUAGAUACCCUGGUAGUCCACGCCGUAAACGGUGGGCACUAGUUGUGGGAACCUUCCACGGUUUCUGCGACGCAGCUAACGCAUUAAGUGCCCCGCCUGGGGAGUACGAUCGCAAGAUUAAAACUCAAAGGAAUUGACGGGGCCCCGCACAAGCAGCGGAGCAUGCGGCUUAAUUCGACGCAACGCGAAGAACCUUACCAAGGCUUGACAUAUACCGGAAUAUGGCAGAAAUGUCAUAGCUGUAAAAGGUCGGUAUACAGGUGGUGCAUGGUUGUCGUCAGCUCGUGUCGUGAGAUGUUGGGUUAAGUCCCGCAACGAGCGCAACCCUCGUUCUGUGUUGCCAGCAUUUAGUUGGGGACUCACAGGAGACUGCCGGGGUCAACUCGGAGGAAGGUGGGGAUGACGUCAAAUCAUCAUGCCCCUUAUGUCUUGGGCUGCACGCAUGCUACAAUAGCCGGUACAAAGGGCUGCGAUACCGCAAGGUGGAGCGAAUCCCAAAAAGCCGGUCUCAGUUCGGAUUGGGGUCUGCAACUCGACCCCAUGAAGUCGGAGUUGCUAGUAAUCGCAGAUCAGCAACGCUGCGGUGAAUACGUUCCCGGGGCUUGUACACACCGCCCGCCACGUCACGAAAGUCGGUAACACCCGAAGUCAGUGGCCCAACCGCAAGGAGGGAGCUGCCGAAGGUGGGAUCGGUGAUUG
RNAcentral lists this ribosomal RNA (829 nucleotides) under uncultured bacterium. RNAcentral describes it as "bacterial SSU rRNA". It matches the Rfam family "Bacterial small subunit ribosomal RNA", at positions 648 to 1477 of the family's 1533-position model. The record is from RNAcentral.